RNAcentral lists this ribosomal RNA (460 nucleotides) under uncultured bacterium. RNAcentral describes it as "partial 16S ribosomal RNA". It matches the Rfam family "Bacterial small subunit ribosomal RNA", at positions 338 to 795 of the family's 1533-position model. The record is from RNAcentral.
CCUACGGGAGGCAGCAGUGAGGAAUAUUGGUCAAUGGACGGAAGUCUGAACCAGCCAAGCCGCGUGCAGGAAGACGGCUCUAUGAGUUGUAAACUGCUUUUGUACAAGGGUAAACCUGAAUACGUGUAUUCAGCUGAAAGUACUGUACGAAUAAGGAUCGGCUAACUCCGUGCCAGCAGCCGCGGUAAUACGGAGGAUCCAAGCGUUAUCCGGAUUUAUUGGGUUUAAAGGGUGCGUAGGCGGAUUGAUAAGUUAGAGGUGAAAUGUCCGGGCUUAACUCGGGAACUGCCUCUCAUACUGUUGUUCUAGAGAGUAGGUGAGGUAGGCGGAAUGUAUGGUGUAGCGGUGAAAUGCUUAGAGAUCAUGCAGAACACCGAUUGCGAAGGCAGCUUACCAAUCUAUAUCUGACGUUGAGGCACGAAAGCGUGGGGAGCAAACAGGAUUAGAUACCCCAGUAGUC